GAUGAACGCUCGCGGCGUGCCUAAUACAUGCAAGUCGAGCGAACAGACGAGGAGCUUGCUCCUCUGACGUUAGCGGCGGACGGGUGAGUAACACGUGGAUAACCUACCUAUAAGACUGGGAUAACUUCGGGAAACCGGAGCUAAUACCGGAUAAUAUAUUGAACCGCAUGGUUCAAUAGUGAAAGACGGUUUUGCUGUCACUUAUAGAUUGAUCCGCGCCGCAUUAGCUAGUUGGUAAGGUAACGGCUUACCAAGGCAACGAUGCGUAGCCGACCUGAGAGGGUGAUCGGCCACACUGGAACUGAGACACGGUCCAGACUCCUACGGGAGGCAGCAGUAGGGAAUCUUCCGCAAUGGGCGAAAGCAUGACGGAGCAACGCCGCGUGAGUGAUGAAGGUCUUCGGAUCGUAAAACUCUGUUAUUAGGGAAGAACAAAUGUGUAAGUAACUAUGCACGUCUUGACGGUACCUAAUCAGAAAGCCACGGCUAACUACGUG
Molecule: ribosomal RNA, 497 nt
Filed under: uncultured bacterium
Lineage: Bacteria
Description: partial 16S ribosomal RNA
Rfam family: Bacterial small subunit ribosomal RNA
Source: RNAcentral